AAAGACACUGCCAAUGAAGCUGUAAACUUGAGCAAAGUCUGGCAUAACUUUCAUUUGCUUCUGGCUCUCAUUUUGGUCAUUGCUCUCUUUAGUCUUAUUAAUCCUAGGGUUGUUUUCAUUACUGCUGCUGCUGCAAUUUUGCUUGACUCCUCCACUGGAUAAUUGUGCGUCAUCUUUUCUCGUCUGUAUCGUGCUAAUGGCAGGCACAUUGUCGUAAGUCCAGGGAGAAAAAUUAAUUGUAUUUCCAGGUACUGAUAAAGGAUCGGGCCCGAUACCAAAUCCGGGUACAGGCAGGGCACCAGGAGGUUGAAAUUGGAUGCUGCCGACUUGGGAAAUAACCUUUUUAGGAGCUUUUUGUGGAUAAGGAUGAGAAGCUUUUCUCUUUGGGCGUGGGGGAGGUACAUGUUCACUAGUUCCACUCUUCUGGACCUUCAGAAAGUAUUUCUGUGCAUGGCUACGUAUCUGG
Molecule: unclassified non-coding RNA, 466 nt
Filed under: Hevea brasiliensis (rubber tree)
Lineage: Eukaryota; Viridiplantae; Streptophyta; Magnoliopsida; Malpighiales; Euphorbiaceae
Source: RNAcentral